UGAAUUGAAGCCCCAGUAAACGGCGGCCGUAACUAUAACGGUCCUAAGGUAGCGAAAUUCCUUGUCGGGUAAGUUCCGACCUGCACGAAUGGCGUAACGAUCUCCACACUGUCUCGGCCAGAGACUCGGUGAAAUUGAAGUCGCGGUGAAAAUGCCGUGUACCCGCAGAAAGACGGAAAGACCCUGUGCACCUUUACUAUAGCUUGACAUUGGGAUUUGAGCCUGCAUGUGUAGCAUAGGUGGGAGGCUGUGAACUCUGUACGCCAGUAUGGAGGGAGCCAUCGUUGAAAUACCACCCUUGUUUGUUCAGGUCCCUAACUCCUUGCCGUGAUCCGGUAGGAGGACAGUGUCUGGUGGGUAGUUUGACUGGGGCGGUCGCCUCCCAAAAUGUAACGGAGGCAUGCAAAGGUUCCCUCAGGCUGAUUGGAAACCAGCCGUCGAGUGCAAACGCAAAAGGGAGCUUGACUGCAAGAGAGACAUCUCGAGCAGGUACGAAAGUAGGUGUUAGUGAUCCGGUGAUCCCGAAUGGAAGGGUCAUCGCUCAUUGGAUAAAAGGUACGCCGGGGAUAACAGGCUGAUCGCAUCCAAGAGUUCACAUCGACGAUGCGGUUUGGCACCUCGAUGUCGGCUCAUCACAUCCUGGGGCUGAAGCAGGUCCCAAGGGUACGGCUGUUCGCCGUUUAAAGUGGUACGCGAGCUGGGUUUAAAACGUCGUGAGACAGUUUGGUCCCUAUCUUCUGUGGGCGUAGGAGAAUUGAAAGGGCCUGUCCCUAGUACGAGAGGACCGGGAUGGACACACCACUGGUGGACCUGUUGUCGUGCCAACGGCACAGCAGGGUAGCUAUGUGUGGAAGGGAUAACCGCUGAAAGCAUCUAAGCGGGAAGCCUGCCUUAAGAUAAGUUCUCCCUGACGCAAGUCCUGAAGGGCCGAGGUAGACGACCUCGUUGAUAGGCUGGAGGUGGAAGCCCUGUGAGGGGUGGAGCUGACCAGUACUAAUAGCCCGUGCGUCUUGUUUCU
This 1018-nucleotide ribosomal RNA is filed under the name human gut metagenome. Its description in RNAcentral is "bacterial LSU rRNA". It matches the Rfam family "Bacterial large subunit ribosomal RNA", at positions 1908 to 2925 of the family's 2925-position model. The record is from RNAcentral.